Molecule: ribosomal RNA, 847 nt
Filed under: Salmonella enterica
Lineage: Bacteria; Pseudomonadati; Pseudomonadota; Gammaproteobacteria; Enterobacterales; Enterobacteriaceae
Also listed under: 2 other names
Description: partial 23S ribosomal RNA
Rfam family: Bacterial large subunit ribosomal RNA
Source: RNAcentral
UGUUUCGGCUAGGGGGCCAUCCCGGCUUACCAACCCGAUGCAAACUGCGAAUACCGGAGAAUGUUAUCACGGGAGACACACGGCGGGUGCUAACGUCCGUCGUGAAGAGGGAAACAACCCAGACCGCCAGCUAAGGUCCCAAAGUCAUGGUUAAGUGGGAAACGAUGUGGGAAGGCCCAGACAGCCAGGAUGUUGGCUUAGAAGCAGCCAUCAUUUAAAGAAAGCGUAAUAGCUCACUGGUCGAGUCGGCCUGCGCGGAAGAUGUAACGGGGCUAAACCAUGCACCGAAGCUGCGGCAGCGACACUUUAGUGUUGUUGGGUAGGGGAGCGUUCUGUAAGCCGUUGAAGGUGUCCUGUGAGGGGUGCUGGAGGUAUCAGAAGUGCGAAUGCUGACAUAAGUAACGAUAAAGCGGGUGAAAAGCCCGCUCGCCGGAAGACCAAGGGUUCCUGUCCAACGUUAAUCGGGGCAGGGUGAGUCGACCCCUAAGGCGAGGCCGAAAGGCGUAGUCGAUGGGAAACGGGUUAAUAUUCCCGUACUUGGUGUUACUGCGAAGGGGGGACGGAGAAGGCUAUGUUGGCCGGGCGACGGUAGUCCCGGUUUAAGCGUGUAGGCUGGUUUUCCAGGCAAAUCCGGAAAAUCAAGGCUGAGGCGUGAUGACGAGGCACCACGGUGCUGAAGCAACAAAUGCCCUGCUUCCAGGAAAAGCCUCUAAGCAUCAGGUAACAUCAAAUCGUACCCCAAACCGACACAGGUGGUCAGGUAGAGAAUACCAAGGCGCUUGAGAGAACUCGGGUGAAGGAACUAGGCAAAAUGGUGCCGUAACUUCGGGAGAAGGCACGCUGACAC